AUUUUUGGACGUUGUGCCCUUGAGGCGUGGCUUCCGGAGCUAACGCGUUAAAUCGACCGCCUGGGGAGUACGGCCGCAAGGUUAAAACUCAAAUGAAUUGACGGGGGCCCGCACAAGCGGUGGAGCAUGUGGUUUAAUUCGAUGCAACGCGAAGAACCUUACCUACUCUUGACAUCCAGAGAACUUUCCAGAGAUGGAUUGGUGCCUUCGGGAACUCUGAGACAGGUGCUGCAUGGCUGUCGUCAGCUCGUGUUGUGAAAUGUUGGGUUAAGUCCCGCAACGAGCGCAACCCUUAUCCUUUGUUGCCAGCGGUUCGGCCGGGAACUCAAAGGAGACUGCCAGUGAUAAACUGGAGGAAGGUGGGGAUGACGUCAAGUCAUCAUGGCCCUUACGAGUAGGGCUACACACGUGCUACAAUGGCGUAUACAAAGAGAAGCGACCUCGCGAGAGCAAGCGGACCUCAUAAAGUACGUCGUAGUCCGGAUUGGAGUCUGCAACUCGACUCCAUGAAGUCGGAAUCGCUAGUAAUCGUAGAUCAGAAUGCUACGGUGAAUACGUUCCCGGGCCUUGUACACACCGCCCGUCACACCAUGGGAGUGGGUUGCAAAAGAAGUAGGUAGCUUAACCUUCGGGAGGGCGCUUACCACUUUGUGAUUCAUGACUGGGGUGAAGUCGUAACAAGGUAACCGUAAGGGGACCCGCAUAUUCCGCCAGA
RNAcentral lists this ribosomal RNA (715 nucleotides) under Serratia marcescens. Its description in RNAcentral is "bacterial SSU rRNA". It matches the Rfam family "Bacterial small subunit ribosomal RNA", at positions 815 to 1533 of the family's 1533-position model. Lineage: Bacteria; Pseudomonadati; Pseudomonadota; Gammaproteobacteria; Enterobacterales; Yersiniaceae. The record is from RNAcentral.